RNAcentral lists this ribosomal RNA (440 nucleotides) under uncultured bacterium. Its description in RNAcentral is "partial 16S ribosomal RNA". It matches the Rfam family "Bacterial small subunit ribosomal RNA", at positions 338 to 795 of the family's 1533-position model. The record is from RNAcentral.
CCUACGGGCGGCAGCAGUGGGGAAUAUUGCACAAUGGGGGAAACCCUGAUGCAGCGACGCCGCGUGAGUGAAGAAGUAUUUCGGUAUGUAAAGCUCUAUCAGCCGGGAAGAAAAUGACGGUACCUGAUUAAGAAGCCCCGGCUAACUACGUGCCAGCAGCCGCGGUAAUACGUAGGGGGCAAGCGUUAUCCGGAUUUACUGGGUGUAAAGGGGGCGUAGACGGCAGCACAAGUCUGGAGUGAAAUAGCGGGGCUUAACCCCUGAACUGCUUUGGAAACUGUGCAGCGAGAGUGCAGGAGAGGUAAGUGGAAUGCCUAGUGUAGCGGUGAAAUGCGUAGAUAUUAGGAGGAACACCAGUGGCGAAGGCGGCUUACUGGACUGUAACUGACGUUGAGGCUCGAAAGCGUGGGGAGCAAACAGGAUUAGAUACCCGAGUAGUC